RNAcentral lists this ribosomal RNA (254 nucleotides) under uncultured bacterium. Its description in RNAcentral is "partial 16S ribosomal RNA". It matches the Rfam family "Bacterial small subunit ribosomal RNA", at positions 524 to 776 of the family's 1533-position model. The record is from RNAcentral.
GACGUAGGGCGCGAGCGUUGUCCGGAUUUACUGGGCGUAAAGAGCGCGUAGGCGGUCCGGUAAGUCGGUUGUGAAAACUGGGGGCUCAACCCUCAGAGGCCGACCGAUACUGCCGGGCUAGAGUCCGGAAGAGGCGAGUGGAAUUCCUGGUGUAGCGGUGAAAUGCGCAGAUAUCAGGAGGAACACCAAUGGCGAAGGCAGCUCGCUGGGACGGUACUGACGCUGAGGCGCGAAAGCGUGGGGGAGCAAACAGG